GUGUGUGUGUGUGUGUGUGUGUGUGUGUGUGAGGAUUUUUUUCCCUCCAUGAAUCCCCCGUUAUGUUUCUUCGUUGCAUCAUUAUCAAAGUGUACUAUCUUUUUACUUGUAUGCAUUUAUAAUGUGUUAUAGAAUCAGUAUUUCCAAAGAAGGAACAAAGGAAAUAUUAAAUAGCUUCAUUUGAACCUUCAUUGAUCGGCAUAACUAUAACAAAUGCUAUGUGCACAUAUUCAGUAAGUAGCAGUGAAUUACAAUAUACACGUAUGUGUCAUUUUAAAAUGCGUCACUUUGAAAUGAUGUAGUAAAGUGAAUUAAUUAUGAUUUUUUCUUAUCCACGAAGGUCUUCUUAAAGUCUAUAAAAUACAUGUCAAAUAUUUUAUUGAACCACAGCGAAAAGCAUAACUACCCCCAUCUCACUCACACUACAGUGAAUAGGAGAGCAUUACCUUUAAAAAAUGUCUCAUUCAAGCACGAAGAAUGACUCCAAAAAGCCCCAGCGCAGAAGCAUGCACUGUACAGGCUCGGAAUGUGCUUUAAAAUGCCUUUUGAAAUAUAUAUAACAGCCUAUCUGAGCCGGCCUGAAAACGCACUUAACUGGUGAGGUGUCGGCCGGGCGGGAUGACGUGGAAUCACUGGACGUCACCACGGAGCCGAAGAGGAGACAAACCGAGACCAGAGAGAAUCAAAGCGAGCCGUUACUUUUCCCUCGUGUGGCCCCGGAGUGGCUGCUUUUGAUCGUACGCGUGCGUGAUUGUGUGCGUUCUUGAGUGCGUUACUUCAUUUGCUCUGUCUGAGUGUCGUUGUGUUUAUUUGUCUCAAUGUGUCUCUCCCCCGUUUGUGUGGGCGAUAGUGAGCCAGGGAAAGAAAAAGAGGGCGAUGUUCUCGAGCAUGCACUGACAUGUCACAUCGUGUUUGUCACAUUGGAAGGGAGAGCACCCAAAGUCUCUGGUGCCCUGACCCUGCAGCUGGGUGGUGGUGUCUCGCCGUAGCCACACAAUGUCUUCAGGUACUACGGGGCUGCAGAUCACUGACCGCCCCCCCAGUAGACCCACACCUGGAGCGCCCAGCACCGGUCCUCUGCUCUAUUGUAUAUGAGGACCGGUGUUGUUUGUGUGGGCAAGUCUAGCUGUGUUUAUUGUGCAUGACAUCUCCCUCCCCGCAUGUCAAAAAUUGCAAUCAGCGAGGUUACGCACAAACUCUGCAAAAUAACGCUGAAAUGCUUCAGGUUUGGAGUUACAGGAGGUUGUUGAUCUAUGAAGAGGGGUGAUUGCGGGUGAAUUGUCGGCUCUCUCUGUUCACUACUUAACAGGUGCAGGAGUUAGAGCUUCAGUCACCUUGGAGACAAGGAUUUGAAAGGCCAGACAAACCGGCUCCAGGAUCGGGUGGGUUAAUGGAAAAAGGCUAAACUUUACCUGUAAAGUGCCUUCUGCCACUUUAGAAAAUGACAUUUUUUGAUGGGCUACACUUUCCUGCGAGAAAAUAUAAAAGAGAUUACCUCUUUGUGUUGCAUUUUGUUUUGUGAAUAUAACUGUGUGUGUGCGUGUGUGUGUGUGUGUGCGCGAGCUGUAUAGAACAGCUCCACUGUAGCUGUUCUAUACUUUUAUACUACCUGUAUUCUUCUUCACCCAGAAACACAAACUGUGCACUGUACAUGCUGGUAGAAGAAAAUAAGACUCGAAUGAAUACAUCCCAUUUACAUUGUAUACAUUUGUAUAAAAUGCUAAUAUACAGCAAUCCCAAUGGGCCAAGGGGUUCGGAGGGCUGCAGCCGAGUGCUUCAACAGGAAGGAUGGCAGCUAUUGGACCCAGUUAGUCAUGGGACAUGGGAGGAGAUGCAGAAGGGAAAAGACAGCAGGCUAUUGUUUUAUUAGAUGUUUUGGAUCAUUUAAUUGCAGUGUGUUUAAAAAUAAGCACGUCUUCAGGUUCUUAGUGAGGGAAAUUCAACCAAUUUAUUUUCCACAAAUUGAAAUGUCUUCAGAAUCAUGAUCAGAACUGUAUUAUUGUCUUUAAAUACACAUUAACAUGAAUCCAACAUAUUGUAGCGAACGGAUAGAUUGAUGGAGAAGACGUUAUCUUUCAGUCCGCAACACACACAUCCAGAUUCCCACAGCAGCUCUCAAGCUUUGGGCACCGCUUCACUCACAGCUCCUUUCAUGCGAGUACGACAGCGCAGGCAGCAGCCAAUCAGAUCGCGUUUAUGCUCACCACUAAAGAGCGUGAUGCUCAAAAACAAGAUGGCUUGUUUGGGGGACCUUGCCCUGAAAAACGUUGAAGACCCCUGCUCUAGCCUAUAGCUUUCUAUGUUAUACUGUAGAUUUGAAUGAACAUGUCUUUUUUCAUGUUAUGUUAUUUGUCUUGUUGUCUAUUGUCUCACCGUCUUACUGUCCAAUGUUAUGCACCAACCGCCAUGUCAAAGUCCUUGUAUGUCUGAAAUAUCUCGGCAAUAAAUGUUCCUGAUUCCUGAUCUAGUAUACACCAAAUGACACAUCACAAAAAAAUCAUAUUUUUUCCUGCCGAAUCCAGGCGCAUGAGCACGCAGGGGCGUUCCGGUGUUUUGCUGACCUCACCUCUGAGCUCCAACACCAGUCAAAGCAAUUACUCAAAUAAGCCUCGGCAGCUCAUUCCUGUGAGAGACGAACAGACGUGCCAGAUACCUUCGCAAUUCUAAUUGAGAGACAGAAAUCUUUUUGCACUCGCGCUCCCACGCCAGCCUCUUCUCGCAGUUUGAGUUCUGUUUGCUGCCGCCUCAUUUGCCCUUCAUAUGAAUUAAAUACGUCAGUUCUUAAAUAAGAGGCCGUAGAAACAGGUAAAAGAGCUAUUGUCAAUUGGACGUGCAGGCAUAAAUGAACGCUAAUCUGCUGAAUGUGCUGAUGACUGGAUACGUUCGCUCCACCAGCUUUAGAAGAGGAUAAAGUCUCAGUAUUGUUUUCACAAAUUGGUCCCAGAGUGGCUGUGGAAAUAGCUCACGCAUGUUUAAAACUUAAAGAUAAAAUGCCAGGAAAGUAAGGUGACGUUAACUAUAAAUAUGGUGUCUGCCUUGAAUAAAAUAUGUAAAUUAUUAUUAGUUCAGGAAUUUACACAGUGAUGAGUAAUUUACCUGAUUUCUGGCGUUAAAGGCAAGUGUAUUGUGUCCUGCCAAAAAUGCCAUCAGUGAGCUGCUAUAAGAAUCCUCUGUAGGAUGAUUGAGUUGUAACAGUAGCCACAACUCUUAAUGUGUCCCUCUUUUUAGCACUUGACUGAAUAAUUUAUGCAGGAGUAAAACGAUCAGCUGCAAAGCUUUUAGAAUCAAGCGCUAUUUCCAUUUUUGCAACAACAUACUGGAGGGGUCAUGACCUUUGCCUUGUUGUACAAAACCAGGUAAAAAGACGGAUCUGUGAAUAAAAAAAUAGAGAAGCUGCAAGAUGUUGAGGCAGAAAGAUAGUCAAAAAAAAAGAGAGGUAGGGGGAGUUUUAAAACAAAAGAGAGAGUGACGGAAAAGGGGGAAGGUAUGUGCUAUUUAUCUGCUCAAGGAGAGCAAAGUGCCACAUUUUGUGCUGCAUCAGUGAUUGAUGGCCGCCAUUAUCCCACCCAAUGGGUGUAAGCAGGGGAUAUUAGCACACGGUUUCCACACCCAGAUGAAACAAGCAGAGUUCUCCACAGUGGGGAUACCCGGAGCCACAUGGACAAUGGAGUGUGAAAGCAUGCAAGGCAUAAAGAUUGGUGGAGAGAGAUGUAAUAAGACUAGGGGAGGGAAAAAAGGAGAUAACGGAAAAGAAUAAAGUUCCUGUUGUUAUAGAAUAUCCUGUAGGGUUUUAAAUAUAAUGGUCUGUCUUAACAUGGACCACCACAUGGUGUGAUAUGACAUCCAUUGUACAAAGGGUCUGAGGCAGAUAUGCUAGUUCAGGGCACUGCAGUGGGAUGCAAACAAUGAGGCCUGUAAUUAUAGACCGAGCACACUCCACACGUUCAUUUAACACAGAGGGAAACUACCUGAAAUAGAUGGAAUUUCAGUCUACGUGGCGUAUUGUGCAGUGAAACCACACGCCUCUCUGGGUUGAAAAUUGUGUAAUGUCCAAAAUUAAAUUCCUACUGUUGUUGUCCUUUUGCACGCACAGUAGCCAGAAAGGACAAACCACUCUGCUCUACCUUCAAGGUAAAACCUUCUCUUUUAAAGUAUAACCAUGUGUGAAGGAGUAAUAAUCCAAGGGAUAAAAUGGUCCUGUUAAUUCUAAAAGUAAUCCCACUUUGCUAACGAGCGGACUCUGUGCCAUCCAUCGUUGCAGGAAGCUGCAUCUCAUCUCACAGCGUGCAUUGAAAUGACAAAGCGAGCAAAUCAGAGAGGCAUUAAAACACAGGAUAUGUAGGAUAUAUCCUGUGUAUGGAUUAGUUCCCGUACGCCACUUUCCAAGGCGCGCAAAAGACCCAGGAGGUUUUCAUCACUGCAAGUUUCCAUAGAAACCCCAGACGAUUAAGGGUAUUGUAUGAAAAUGCAAAAUACUGGAAUAACCGCAUUGCUCUUUCGUUCUUCAAGGCUUUAUCUUUGGCAGAUGAAACAACAAGUAGGUGUUUUCAUGUCUGUUGUUUUAUUACAAGCUAGAGUACAAAUAUUUGAAAGAAGAGCAAAUUAAUCAAUGAUGGCGUUGACAAUCAUCAAUAACUCUUUCCUGUGGUGAUUGUGUGAUGCGACAGAAAAAAGUUGUGUAAAAAUCCUAUUUCCGUUCAAUAACAUUUAUUGCUUCAAUGCAAUUGUUCAUACAGCAAUGCUGCACCUGUAUUUCCCUUCAUUUGACUUUUCAGCUCUCACAUUCAAGUGAAAAUAAAACACUCCAACAUGCAGUGGUCUGUAUCACCCUGGGCCUUCAACCUACGCUUUUCUUUCUCAGAAAUGAGUGAGACUCAAAGUCAAAGAGGAUGGCCCUCAAAUCAAACCAUCAACACGAAGUGUUGCGCUGAUUCAGAAGUACAGAACAAGUCUAUACACUCUCAACGCGAAGCCCAGGUGCGUGAUUCUCUCAAAAUGCUGCAAUUUCUUUAUCAAUCUUGUCCUCACGUCAGCGGAGCACAUAUGAGGUUGAAACAGCAGUGGGAUUCAGACAGACGAGUCUCAGCAACCCCUAACCCCGUCUCAGUCCAUUCACCAGCUGUGACUCACCCACGCCGCCGCUCCCCCUCUGUGUUUAUCUCUAAAUAAAACAAGUCAACAAAAUGAUGGCUGCAAAGCAAUCAAAACGCAGACCUCGCUGUGUGCAUUUGAUUGAGAACUGAGAGGAGGUGAGGAGAGGUGAUGCUGAGAAAACUGUAAUUCUGAACUACUAAGACUUCCUCUCAAAUGCAGCGAAAGUGGCAAUGUGUCAACAUCAGGAGGGGAUUAUUUGUUUUCGGUAGUAAAGGAGGUCUGGAGGGUACGAGUACACGCGGUCACUACUGGAAAGAUGAUGUGAUGGCACCGGGGAAACGGUAUUUAGGCUUCAAUCGGUUUGUCUCUAAUGCAACCACAGGGGCCACCUCUGGACAGACCACCCAGGGGCCCGAGCCUUUAGGCCUGCGUUUCAAAGGGACUUGGAAUUUUUGUGGAACGUGAAGCUUACGUAAACAAAGAGUGAAUGAGUACAACGAGAUGUAAUAUGACCACAAAAGGGGGAAGGAAAUAACCACGGAGGCGCACAUUAAUCAUAGAGACUACAAAAGGACUUCAAAGAGACUCAAAACAACUAAAAAGAGAUGCAAAACAAUUGUGCAGAAAUGGCG
Long non-coding RNA from Gasterosteus aculeatus aculeatus (three-spined stickleback), 5726 nucleotides. NCBI's taxonomy places the organism in Eukaryota, Metazoa, Chordata, Actinopteri, Perciformes, Gasterosteidae. The record is from Ensembl.